RNAcentral lists this non-coding RNA (253 nucleotides) under Staphylococcus sp. Its description in RNAcentral is "T-box sequence". It matches the Rfam family "T-box leader". From Rfam's summary of the family: Uncharged tRNA acts as the effector for transcription antitermination of genes in the T-box leader family. Lineage: Bacteria; Bacillati; Bacillota; Bacilli; Caryophanales; Staphylococcaceae. The record is from RNAcentral.
AAAAAGAUUUUGAAAAGAAGAGUAAUAAAAUUUCUUUAGCAAAGAGAACUUUUGGUUGGUGAGAAAAAGUGUAAAGGGUUUUAUGAACAUGGUCUUGGAGUUGCGGUAAUGAUAUGUAAUUACUGACGUGAACGCACGUUAUAGCGGAGAAAUAUGUUAGUAUUUCGUAAUGAGGCUUAGAUAGUAUUAAUAGUAACAUAAUAAUAUAUAUUUAAGUAAAUUAAGGUGGUACCACGAUUUAAUCGUCCUUAUC